AACGAACGCUGGCGGCGUGGUUUAGGCAUGCAAGUCGAGCGCGAACGAGAGCUUCGGCUCUCUAGUAGAGCGGCGAAAGGGUGAGUAAUGCUUGGGCAAUCUGCCCCCUGCACUGGGAUAGCCACUGGAAACGGUGGGUAAUACCGGGCGGUCUCCGAGCGUCCACGGGCGCACGGAGUAGAGGUGGGGAUCUUCGGACCUACCGGCAGGGGAGGAGCUCGAGUCCUAUCAGCUAGUUGGUGAGGUAAAGGCUCACCAAGGCGAAGACGGGUAGCCGGACUGAGAGGUUGGCCGGCCACACUGGCACUGAGACACUGGCCAGACUCCUACGGGAGGCUGCAGUCGAGAAUCUUCCGCAAUGGACGAAAGUCUGACGGAGCGACGCCGCGUGGAGGAAGAAGGCCUUCGGGUUGUAAACUCCUGUCAGGGCUUAUGAACGCUUCCGUGGUGAACAAUCACGGUUGUUGACAAAGGGCCCAAAGGAAGCCACAGCUAACUUCGUGCCAGCCGCCGCCGUAACAC
Molecule: ribosomal RNA, 522 nt
Filed under: uncultured bacterium
Lineage: Bacteria
Description: bacterial SSU rRNA
Rfam family: Bacterial small subunit ribosomal RNA
Source: RNAcentral